Long non-coding RNA from Bradysia coprophila, 188 nucleotides. The record is from RefSeq and is a predicted model, not a curated record. Lineage: Eukaryota; Metazoa; Arthropoda; Insecta; Diptera; Sciaridae.
UAAUUAAACACAAUGUCAUAACUCAAAAAUAACUAUUUUGCAUCAAUACGGAAACCGAGCACCUUUUUACAACAGAAAUGUCAAGUUUCACUGACUUCUUCACGAACAAAAACGGCAGUGAAGAAUCUGUAACCGCACAGUUAACUUUGACAGUAUUAACUGAGCGACAAAAGUUAACGCCAGUGAAA